GAUGAACGCUGGCGGCGUGCCUAAUACAUGCAAGUCGAGCGAACGGACGAGAAGCUUGCUCCUCUGACGUUAGCGGCGGACGGGUGAGUAACACGUGGAUAACCUACCUAUAAGACUGGGAUAACUUCGGGAAACCGGAGCUAAUACCGGAUAAUAUAUUGAACCGCAUGGUUCAAUAGUGAAAGACGGUUUUGCUGUCACUUAUAGAUGGAUCCGCGCUGCAUUAGCUAGUUGGUAAGGUAACGGCUUACAAAGGAACCGAUGCUUAGCCGACCUGAUGGGUGAUCGGCCACACUGGAACUGAGACACGGUCCAGACUCCUACGGGAGGCAGCAGUAGGGAAUCUUCCGCAAUGGGCGAAAGCCUGACGGAGCAACGCCGCGUGAGUGAUGAAGGUCUUCGGAUCGUAAAACUCUGUUAUUAGGGAAGAACAAAUGUGUAAGUAACUAUGCACGUCUUGACGGUACCUAAUCAGAAAGCCACGGCUAACUACGUG
Molecule: ribosomal RNA, 496 nt
Filed under: uncultured bacterium
Lineage: Bacteria
Description: partial 16S ribosomal RNA
Rfam family: Bacterial small subunit ribosomal RNA
Source: RNAcentral